UCUCCUGUAAGCUCAGUGGUAGAGCGUCCGACCGUGUGGCGGAAGGUCAUAGGUUUCGGCUCCUGUUGGAGGAA
RNAcentral lists this transfer RNA (74 nucleotides) under Desmophyllum pertusum. RNAcentral describes it as "tRNA-His". The record is from RNAcentral. Lineage: Eukaryota; Metazoa; Cnidaria; Anthozoa; Scleractinia; Caryophylliidae.